UUCUAUUUGAAAUCCAAAUUUUAUUUGUAUAGCACCAUUUUCAAACCCAAGGUCAUUUAAAACAACAUAAAUGCAUACGCCACAUUGUAUAAACAAAUAAAAGGAAGGAAAUAUUUUGUAAGCAGUACAGCAAAUCUGGUUGGUGGGGAGAGGGUGAACUGUGAGGGAAGCAGUGUUGCAUGGAACAGUUGGGUAGCGUUGCAUCCAAAGUUUGGGGGUCAUGACGCUGAAAGAUCUGCCACCUAUAGCGGAUAGUCUGGUCUCAGGGACCAGAAGCAGACCAGUGUCGGGGGACUCAAGGGCACAAGUGGGAGUGUAGGAAGAGAACCAUUCAGAGAGGUGGGAGGGGGCAAGACUGUGAAGACCGUUACAUAUGAAUGAGAGGAUGAGAACAAAGACCUUGGGUUGGAUGGGCGACAUAAUUAGUUUGAGAUCAAAGUGAACGUGUUUCCUUUGAGUGUGAUAAAAACAUUAAAUAUCAAGGGUGAAUAUACUGAAGGAGAUGUAUCGGAUAUUUGUGUCUUUUAUUUUUGAGGCUGGAUCAUGGCCCUCUCUAUUUCGGUGGCAGUCUUCGCUAGAAGUGUGCAACUCAAACUGCUGCUUUUCUGGUAAAACUUCACUUGUGGACACAGCUGAACAAGUUCCACGUUCAGCUCUCGUUCUUGCGGCUUACUUAAGUCUCCUCCUGGCAGAAACAGAGAAUGGUGUUAUGUAAAGCGAUUCAUCGAAAAUCAACUAGAUGACAGGAGAAGAACCUGAGGAGGCACCCAAUGAAAGAAGCCAUAUUUCAAGGAAGCUUCCUACAAAAAGAGAUUUCCAGAAGAAGAGGUUGCCUGGAAAACAUUUUCCCCCAAAAGACAAUUUCUACUGGAGGAUUCUAUUGGACAAGAAAUUUUGCAGGAAGAGAACUGCCAGUAUAUGAUCUGAACAAUAUUUUCCCCCUAUUAUUAUUAUUAUUAUUAUUGUUAUUUCAUGUGAAGCAUUUUGAUGGGAGAGUGUUGAUGUGGAGUUUCAUAAGAAAUAAAUGUGGGUCCCAUUUACUUUGAGGCCAGCGAAGUCCAAAACUCCUGAGGUGUGUGAGGUGAUGCUGAAUUUACAUUUGACCUCCACCUAAUGCUGCCAUGUCUAGUGGAACAUUUUUAUAAUGGAGCUCUGUGCAUUACAUGUCAUGUUCUGUUAAAUGUAUGAAGCAUGUGCACCACAGUGAGAAGAUUUGAAACUGCAGUGUGGCUGUGUACGGCAGUGUAAGGGUUAAAGCAGCACUGUUAACCAGUGGGGGUUUCCAGACUUACUCUGACUGAGUGACAGUGUGCUUUUAAAAUAGGGGUCAUGUUCCUUAGAGUCAGUAACACAAACUGCCCAUAUAUACAUACAAAUCGUAGUUGCCAAGUAACAUCCAAAACAGUUUGCAUACUGUGUACUGUUAAGAUUCCUGAAGAAGAAGAAUUUAAGCAUUCUGUUAAAUAUAAUUAAAAAAAUAAAAAUAAAUCCUUCCUAGUUUUGAUGUGGCUGCUGUCUAAUACUGCAUGGAGUUGUUGAAGGACAGACACCCGCUCAGUGACAGUUACACAAAGCUUAGACUUAUUCUAAGAUUGCGAUGACUCGUUCUGCACUAUUCACUGCCUGAACCUGUAUGCACGCACUUAUGUAAGUCACUUUGGAUUACAACAUCUGCUACAUGCCUCAGUGUGAAUGUGAAUGCAAACGUUGGUUGUCACUGUGAGCUGUAUGACCAGGAACAUUUGAGGUU
Molecule: long non-coding RNA, 1750 nt
Organism: Anguilla anguilla (European eel)
Lineage: Eukaryota; Metazoa; Chordata; Actinopteri; Anguilliformes; Anguillidae
Exons: 3
Source: RefSeq, a predicted model, not a curated record